This 253-nucleotide ribosomal RNA is filed under the name uncultured bacterium. RNAcentral describes it as "partial 16S ribosomal RNA". It matches the Rfam family "Bacterial small subunit ribosomal RNA", at positions 524 to 776 of the family's 1533-position model. The record is from RNAcentral.
UACGUAGGGGGCAAGCGUUGUCCGGAUUCAUUGGGCGUAAAGAGCGUGUAGGCGGCCAGAUAGGUCAGCUGUGAAAACUCGGGGCUCAACCCUGAGACGUCGGUUGAAACCAUCUGGCUAGAGUCCGGAAGAGGAGUGUGGAAUUCCCGGUGUAGCGGUGAAAUGCGCAGAUAUCGGGAAGAACACCCGUGGCGAAGGCGGCGCUCUGGGACGGUACUGACGCUGAGACGCGAAAGCGUGGGGAGCGAACAGG